UACGGAUGUGGCGAGCGUUACUCGGUAUUACUGGGUGUAAAGGGUCCGCAGGCGGCCAAUUAAGUAAGAGGUGAAAUCUUUCGGCUCAACCGAAAAACGGCCUCUUAUACUGUUUGGCUAGAGGAUAAGAGAGGAAAGCGGAACUGCCGGUGUAAGGGUGAAAUCUGUGGAUAUCGGCAGGAACGCCAGUGACGAAGGUGGCUUUCUGGCUUAUACCUGACGCUCAGGGACGAAAGCUAGGGGAGAGAACAGGAUUAGAUACCCCCGUA
This 269-nucleotide ribosomal RNA is filed under the name uncultured prokaryote. RNAcentral describes it as "partial 16S ribosomal RNA". It matches the Rfam family "Bacterial small subunit ribosomal RNA", at positions 524 to 792 of the family's 1533-position model. The record is from RNAcentral.